This 115-nucleotide ribosomal RNA is filed under the name Salvia splendens (bonfire salvia). Lineage: Eukaryota; Viridiplantae; Streptophyta; Magnoliopsida; Lamiales; Lamiaceae. The record is from RNAcentral.
GCGAUCAUACCAGCACUAAUGCACCGGAUUCCAUCAGAACUGCGAAGUUAAGUGUGCUUGGGUGAGAGUAGAACUAGGAUGGGUGACCCCCUGGGAAGUCCACGUGUUGCACCCC